UUUAAUGACUUACGUCUGCCUUAAAUUAAUCUCUUGGAUACAUAAUAUUUGUUAGCCUAAAAGCUACUUACAUCCUACUUUGAAUUUAUUUUAAAUUAUUUAAAACUGUAUUGAUGUGUGGCUUACCGAUAGUAGUACUUUUCGGCCUUACCACGAGUUUUGGUAUAUCACUCCCGUCUUUGAGACAUUUAUGGAUCGCUCCACUUUUCAAAGUCUAAAUAAGCACCUACUAUGUUCAGAAUCUACCCAACUCGAUUAGAUCGAUUUUAAAGUGAUAAGUUAGAUUUUAUUAUAACGAAUGG
This 302-nucleotide long non-coding RNA is filed under the name Capsicum annuum. Its description in RNAcentral is "long non-coding RNA (CANN_LNC011008)". The record is from RNAcentral. Lineage: Eukaryota; Viridiplantae; Streptophyta; Magnoliopsida; Solanales; Solanaceae.